UUUGAUCCUGGUUCAGAUUGAACGCUGGCGGCAUGCCUAACACAUGCAAGUCGAGCGGCAGCGCGGGGGCAACCCUGGCGGCGAGCGGCGGACGGGUGAGUAAGGCAUCGGAAUCUGCCCUGAUGCGGGGGAUAACGUAGGGAAACUUACGCUAAUACCGCAUACGACCGAGAGGUGAAAGCGGGGGACCGAAAGGCCUCGCGCAGCAGGAUGAGCCGAUGUCCGAUUAGCUGGUUGGUGGGGUAAAGGCCUACCAAGGCGACGAUCGGUAGCUGGUCUGAGAGGAUGAUCAGCCACACUGGGACUGAGACACGGCCCAGACUCCUACGGGAGGCAGCAGUGGGGAAUAUUGGACAAUGGGGGCAACCCUGAUCCAGCAAUGCCGCGUGUGUGAAGAAGGCCUUCGGGUUGUAAAGCACUUUUAUCGGGAGCGAAACGCGCCAGACUAAUAUUCUGGUGAACUGACGGUACCCGAGGAAUAAGCACCGGCUAACUCCGUGCCAGCAGCCGCGGUAAUACGGGAGGGUGCAAGCGUUAAUCGGAAUUACUGGGCGUAAAGCGUGCGUAGGC
Molecule: ribosomal RNA, 570 nt
Filed under: uncultured bacterium
Lineage: Bacteria
Description: bacterial SSU rRNA
Rfam family: Bacterial small subunit ribosomal RNA
Source: RNAcentral